RNAcentral lists this ribosomal RNA (513 nucleotides) under uncultured microorganism. RNAcentral describes it as "bacterial SSU rRNA". It matches the Rfam family "Bacterial small subunit ribosomal RNA", at positions 9 to 504 of the family's 1533-position model. The record is from RNAcentral.
GAGUUUGAUCGUGGCUCAGGAUGAACGCUGGCGGCGUGCCUAAUACAUGCAAGUCGAGCGAACGGACGAGAAGCUUGCUUCUCUGAUGUUAGCGGCGGACGGGUGAGUAACACGUGGAUAACCUACCUAUAAGACUGGGAUAACUUCGGGAAACCGGAGCUAAUACCGGAUAAUAUUUUGAACCGCAUGGUUCAAAAGUGAAGGACGGUCUUGCUGUCACUUAUAGAUGGAUCCGCGCUGCAUUAGCUAGUUGGUAAGGUAACGGCUUACCAAGGCAACGAUGCAUAGCGACCUGAGAGGGUGAUCGGCCACACUGGAACUGAGACACGGUCCAGACUCCUACGGGAGGCAGCAGUAGGGAAUCUUCCGGCAAUGGGCGAAAGCCUGACGGAGCAACGCCGCGUGAGUGAUGAAGGUCUUCGGAUCGUAAAACUCUGUGAUUAGGGAAGAACAUAUGUGUAAGUAACUGUGCACAUCUUGACGGUACCUAAUCAGAAAGCCACGGCUAACUAC